This 825-nucleotide ribosomal RNA is filed under the name Triticum aestivum (bread wheat). RNAcentral describes it as "partial small subunit ribosomal RNA". The record is from RNAcentral. Lineage: Eukaryota; Viridiplantae; Streptophyta; Magnoliopsida; Poales; Poaceae.
AUGGCAGCCAUACUUGAAUCUUUGCUUGGAUCAUGUGCCAGUAAGUUGCAAAAUAUCAUUACAGAUGAGGCGAUACUAAUCCUUGGGGUGGAAGACGAUCUCAGAGAAGUCCUGCGACGAGUAGAACUAAUACAAUGUUGCAUAUAUGAUGCGGAGAAAAGGAGGACAAAAGAGCUAGCAGUAAACAAUUGGCUCGGCCAACUGAGAGAUAUUAUAUAUGAUGUUGAUGAAAUCCUGGACGUGGCUAGGUGUAAAGGAAGCAAGCUACUGCCUGAUGAUCCUUCAUCAUCAUCAAACAAAUCGGCUGCAUGUAAAGGCCUCUCAGUUUCCUCUUGCUUUUGUAACAUUGGAUCACGUCGUGAUGUUGCUGUUCGGAUUAGAAGCCUCAACAAAAAGAUUGAGAACAUUGCAAAUGACAAGAUAUUCUUCACAUUCAACAAUAGUACACAGCCUCCUGGAAAUGGUCCAACAUCUAGACUGAUAAGAAGUUUCAACCUUGUUGAGCCCAACCUUGUGGGAAAGGAGAUCAUACAUUCCAGCAGGAAGUUGGUGGACUUGGUGCUUGCACACAAGGAAUACAAGUCUUAUAAGCUCGGUAUUGUUGGAACGGGUGGAGUUGGAAAGACAACACUAGCUCAGAAAAUAUACAAUGACCAAAAAAUAAAAGGAAGCUUCAAUCUACAAGCAUGGAUUUGUGUUUCGCGAGACUACAAUGAAGUUACUCUCCUGAAAGAGGUUCUCCGGAAUAUUGGUGUGCAUCAUGAGCAGAGCUCCAAAGGAAGCUUGCAGAAACAAUUGAAGGGAAGAGUUUCUUUCUGGUUCUAG